This 338-nucleotide ribosomal RNA is filed under the name uncultured bacterium. RNAcentral describes it as "bacterial SSU rRNA". It matches the Rfam family "Bacterial small subunit ribosomal RNA", at positions 189 to 507 of the family's 1533-position model. The record is from RNAcentral.
CGGACCUCCGGGAGAAAGCGGGCCUCUUCAUGAAAGCUCGCGCACCUGGACGAGCCCGCGUCCCAUUAGCUUGUUGGUGAGGUAACGGCUCACCAAGGCUCUGAUGGUAGCUGAUCUGAGAGGAUGAUCAGCCACACUGGAACUGAGACACGGUCCAGACUCCUACGGGAGGCAGCAUGGGGAAUUUUGGUCAAUGGGCGAAAGCCUGAACCAGCAACGCCGCGUGAAGGAUGAAGGCCCUCGGGUCGUAAACUUCUGUCAGGAGGGAAGAACGGCCUCCCGGUCAAUACCCGGGGGGUGUGACGGUACCUCCAAAGGAAGCACCGGCUAACUCCGUG